This 797-nucleotide long non-coding RNA is filed under the name Homo sapiens (human). RNAcentral's name for it is "HSALNT0206877". The record is from RNAcentral. Lineage: Eukaryota; Metazoa; Chordata; Mammalia; Primates; Hominidae.
GAAGAAACCGCCCAACGACAGUAAGGACGCAUACAGUGCCACGGAUGCUCAUUUGUAAUUCCUUAAAAAUGAGAGCAAAAGAACGCUUUUCAAUGGUUUUGUCAAAAGUGGUGAAAAGGUGGCGAAUCGGGUCCCUGCCGCAUGGCCUGCCUGGAGCACUGUGCUGCGUGUUCACAUUCUGUCCUUCGUCUUCACAAUGGCUCUGGUGGGUGAGUUAACUGAGAGCAUCAUCGUAUUGAGAGCUUUUUUCUGAGUAUUCAGUAACUCACUCAUUCUCCGUGGACUAUAUUCUGAUCCAGCUCAGACUGAAGCUUAAGUCAUUAGGGAAAAGAAAUCAGCCAUCUAUUUUUUUUUCCUAUAUCAAGUAAUACUUGGAAUCCAGCCCUCUACUCCACUCCUAAUAUAACUAAAAUCUCAGCUCUAACCCCCAGUGGAUUCACACUUAAUGGCUAUAUAUGUGUGCUAUUCAUCGCUGUUUAUCUUCUACUUAACCAAUGCCUGGGAAGUGGCAUUUGUAGAGUGAAUGAAUGGAAGGAUGGAGAGAUAGAUGACAGCUCUCUGGGGGGACAGAGGGAAGGAUGCAAAGGAGGGAGUGAGGAGGCGACGAAAGAGGAAGAGAUGGAGAACACCAAUCUUUUUUUCCUUGUUGUAGUCACUAUAAAUCACCCCCAGUCUGUGACUCUCAUUUGGAAGAAGUGCAAAAUAAAAAUAAUCUAAGGUAUGCAAAGCUUACAAAUUUAUUAGCAGCUUGUGCAGUAAGUUUCUUUUAAUGCGUCUGUGGCAAUACUAGCAACAAA